UACAGAGGUCCCAAGCGUUGUUCGGAUUCAUUGGGCGUAAAGGGUGCGUAGGCGGCGCGGGAAGGCGGGUGUGAAAUCUCGGAGCUUAACUCCGAAACUGCAUUCGAUACUGCCGUGCUUGAGGACUGGAGAGGAGACUGGAAUUUACGGUGUAGCGGUGAAAUGCGUAGAUAUCGUAAGGAAGACCAGUGGCGAAGGCGGGUCUCUGGACAGUUCCUGACGCUGAGGCACGAAGGCCAGGGGAGCAAACAGG
This 253-nucleotide ribosomal RNA is filed under the name uncultured bacterium. Its description in RNAcentral is "partial 16S ribosomal RNA". It matches the Rfam family "Bacterial small subunit ribosomal RNA", at positions 524 to 776 of the family's 1533-position model. The record is from RNAcentral.